GGUGAACCUGCGGAUAUGCAUAUCGAUAAGCGGAGGAAGAUUCCGUAGGUGAACAUGCAGAGACGCAUAUCAAUAAGCGGAGAAUGAUUACUUUCAAGAACGGAUCUCUUGGUUCUGGCAUCGAUGAAGAACGCAGCGAAAUGCGAUAAGUAAUGUGAAUUGCAGAAUUCAGUGAAUCAUCGAAUCUUUGAACGCACAUUGCGCCCCUUGGUAUUCCGGGGGGCAUGCCUGUUCGAGCGUCAUUACAACCCUCAAGCUCUGCUUGGUAUUGGGCGUCCCCGGCGACGGGGUGCCCUAAAAUCAGUGGGCGGUGCCGUCUGGCUCUAAGCGUAGUAAAUCUCUCGCUCUGGAUGCCCGGUGGAUGCUCGCCAGAACCCCCCAUUUUUACAGGUUGACCUCGGAUCAGGUAGGGGAUACCCGCUGAAACUUAAGCAUAUCAAUAAGCCGGG
RNAcentral lists this ribosomal RNA (449 nucleotides) under Phlyctema vagabunda. Its description in RNAcentral is "eukaryotic LSU rRNA". The stretch from base 89 to 242 matches the Rfam family "5.8S ribosomal RNA". The record is from RNAcentral. Lineage: Eukaryota; Fungi; Ascomycota; Leotiomycetes; Helotiales; Dermateaceae.